UGGGGAAUAUUGCGCAAUGGGCGGAAGCCUGACGCAGCGACGCCGCGUGGGGGAUGACGGCCUUCGGGUUGUAAACCUCUUUCGCUAUCGACGAAGCCCCUUCGGGGGUGACGGUAGGUGGAGAAGAAGCACCGGCCAACUACGUGCCAGCAGCCGUGGUAAUACGUAGGGUGCGAGCGUUGUCCGGAAUUAUUGGGCGUAAAGAGCUCGUAGGCGGUGUGUCACGUCGAUCGUGAAAACUUGGGGCUUAACUCUGAGCUUGCGGUCGAUACGGGCAUCACUGGAGUUCGGCAGGGGAGACUGGAAUUCCUGGUGUAGCGGUGAAAUGCGCAGAUAUCAGGAGGAACACCGGUGGCGAAGGCGGGUCUCUGGGCCGAUACUGACGCUGAGGAGCGAAAGCGUGGGGAGCGAACAGG
This 416-nucleotide ribosomal RNA is filed under the name Acidobacteriota bacterium. RNAcentral's name for it is "Acidobacteria bacterium partial 16S ribosomal RNA". It matches the Rfam family "Bacterial small subunit ribosomal RNA", at positions 355 to 776 of the family's 1533-position model. The record is from RNAcentral. Lineage: Bacteria; Pseudomonadati; Acidobacteriota.